Transfer RNA from Clunio marinus, 72 nucleotides. It matches the Rfam family "tRNA". From Rfam's summary of the family: Transfer RNA (tRNA) molecules are approximately 80 nucleotides in length. The record is from Rfam. Lineage: Eukaryota; Metazoa; Arthropoda; Insecta; Diptera; Chironomidae.
GGGGAUAUAGCUCAGUGGUAGAGCGUUUGCUUUGCAUGUAAAAGGUCCCGGGUUCGAAACCCGGUAUCUCCA